UCAAAACUUUCAACAACGGAUCUCUUGGUUCUGGCAUCGAUGAAGAACGCAGCGAAAUGCGAUAAGUAAUGUGAAUUGCAGAAUUCAGUGAAUCAUCGAAUCUUUGAACGCACAUUGCGCCCGCCAGUAUUCUGGCGGGCAUGCCUGUUCGAGCGUCAUUUCAACCCUCAAGCUCUGUCUUGCGCUUGGUGUUGGGGAUCGGCCCUGCCCGCCAGCCCGGGCGGGCCGCCCCCGAAAUGAAUCGGCGGUCUCGUCGCAGCCUCCUCUGCGUAGUAAUUCAGUUAUCCUCGCACUUGGAGCGCGGCGCGGCCACUGCCCGUAAAACGCCUAACUUCUCAAGAGUUGACCUCGAAUCAGGUAGGAAUACCCGCUGAACUUAAGCAUAUCAAUAAGCGGAGGA
RNAcentral lists this ribosomal RNA (400 nucleotides) under uncultured fungus. RNAcentral's name for it is "eukaryotic LSU rRNA". The stretch from base 5 to 158 matches the Rfam family "5.8S ribosomal RNA". Lineage: Eukaryota; Fungi. The record is from RNAcentral.